UGCCCUGUGCCCUCCCACACAGCAGGCGCUUUCCAGACCGUGUCAUGCUCUCUCCAGCAGGACAAGGGGAGGCUUGGUGUACCUAGUUCCCAAGAUGAAGGAACAGACUCCGAGAGGACACCACCAGUGGGCGACAGGGCCAGGACCAAGCUGAGCCUAUCUGCCUCCAAGACUAGGCCUGGGCAAGGCCUAUCUGUUGCCUCUGGGGUCUGGAACUCAGGCUGGAGCCUGCCUGGUGGGGGCUGUCUGCCCCCCAAGCUUCACAAGGCACAAGCCCCCUCCUACUGGAGUGUCUCUGCCGAUAGAGUAGCCUCACUGAUGGCCAUGAGGCCCCGGCGUGAGGGCUCGUGAAGGGGCUGUGACACCUGCCUGGCAACAAGGCCAACCCUCUUCUCUUGAGCUGUUUUAUGUUCGAGCUCAGCUAUUGCGUCGCGUGCCUCCGUCUGAGAGGCGGGGAGAUUGAGACCAGCUGCUGCUGCCUGAAUUCUCCCAGAGCUCGCCUGGUGACACCCCGCUCAGGUCGUCACACCAUCCUGGUAGGAAUCUCUCCCAGCAGCAGCGUUCAAGGCUGAGCAUUUACACCGGAUCUCCGGGGUCCUGGAAGGCCUCCGUCAUCCUCCAUCCCACGUGCCUAAGAGUGUUGGCACUCAGGUAGGAGUCAGGGUGGGUGGCAGGUCACCUCGUGCAGCAGGCCUGGGACUCAGACCCUGGCCCAGCAGCCGCCGAGCCCCAGGUGGAGGCCGUGCCACCCUCAGACUCAAGGUCCAGGCCCUCAUAGAUGGUGGGGAGUGAAGUGUGUUGGCUCAGCCGCCGGCGCAAGCCAACCAGCAGGGGUUGGGGCAAGGAGGCUACGUCCACAUUGUUGCCCAGGUCCACCCAGGCCAGCGCAGGAAACUUGGUGGGGUCCUUGACAGCCUCGGUGAACUCACGGGCAGUGGCCCUCGUCAGCCUAUUGCCGUUGAGCAGGAGUUGGGUGAGGCGGGGCAGUGUCCAGAGGCUGGGCAGCAGCAGGCGCAACAGCUCGUCACUCAGCCCUGUGAAGCUCAGGUCCAGCACCGUGAGCCCAGCUCCCUGGCUUCCCAGGUAGCGCAUGAUAUGCUGCACAUCACGCGCCGACAGCCGAAUCCCUGAGAGGUUCACGGUCUCCCCGGUCAGCUCUGUCAUCUGGAGGCUGCUCUUGAGGCUGUGGGAGGGUUGCAGGCAAGGAUGGACUGAGCCAGCGUCCAUGGCCCAGGCAGGCCCCACCAGCUGCAGACGGUCACCCAUCGGGGCAGCCCACAGUGGUGGCAGGACCCGGGCCCUACUGUCAGGCCAUACUGGGAUCAAACUGCUACUUCCUACAUGGGUGGCCUUGGUCAAUUCUUGGAACCUUUCUGAGCCUCAGUUUCUCCUUUGGUGAAAAGGAGACUUGGCUGAUAUGAGGAAUAAAGAUACAUGUGUUAAGGUU
Canis lupus familiaris (dog) is the source of this 1447-nucleotide long non-coding RNA. RefSeq lists it as uncharacterized. The record is from RefSeq and is a predicted model, not a curated record. Lineage: Eukaryota; Metazoa; Chordata; Mammalia; Carnivora; Canidae. The transcript is spliced from 2 exons.